Molecule: ribosomal RNA, 426 nt
Filed under: uncultured bacterium
Lineage: Bacteria
Description: bacterial SSU rRNA
Rfam family: Bacterial small subunit ribosomal RNA
Source: RNAcentral
UGGGGAAUUUUGGACAAUGGGCGCAAGCCUGAUCCAGCAAUGCCGCGUGCAGGAUGAAGGCCUUCGGGUUGUAAACUGCUUUUGUACGGAACGAAAAGGCCUCUUUUAAUAAAGGGGGCUCAUGACGGUACCGUAAGAAUAAGCACCGGCUACCUAAGUGCCAGCAGCCGCGGUAAUACGUAGGGUGCGAGCGUUAAUCGGAAUUACUGGGCGUAAAGCGUGCGCAGGCGGUAAUGUAAGACAGAUGUGAAAUCCCCGGGCUCAACCUGGGACCUGCAUUUGUGACUGCAUUGCUGGAGUGCGGCAGAGGGGGAUGGAAUUCCGCGUGUAGCAGUGAAAUGCGUAGAUAUGCGGAGGAACACCGAUGGCGAAGGCAAUCCCCUGGGCCUGCACUGACGCUCAUGCACGAAAGCGUGGGGAGCAAAC